This 962-nucleotide unclassified non-coding RNA is filed under the name Hevea brasiliensis (rubber tree). The record is from RNAcentral. Lineage: Eukaryota; Viridiplantae; Streptophyta; Magnoliopsida; Malpighiales; Euphorbiaceae.
AGUCUUUUGUGCUUGAUAGUGAAGAGGAGUUAGAAGAAAAAGAAGCCCCAAAUAGACCUCUUGAUGUUCCACUUAUGGUUCCAAAUCAAUCAAAGACUGAAAGGAAGAUUAGAGGAAUCAAGAGUCCUUUGUCAAGUUUGGUUUUUGACGGUAGUUAUGUGAAUAUGACUAGUAAUGAUGGGUUUUCUGGGAUUUUGAAGUCAGCAAAAGAGGCAUUUGAGGUAGGUAAAAAGUUCUGGAAAGAGCUUGAAUUGUAUAAAAAAGAAGUGGGUAGUAUUGUAGAAAGUAACAAGACAGAAGAAUGUCCUCAUUCCAUUUCAAUAUCAGGGUCUGAGUUUUUGGGGAAAGGGAGAAUGAUGGUGUUGCCAUGUGGGCUUACUCUUGGUUCACAUAUAACUGUUGUGGGUAAACCGAGAAGGGCUCAUCAGGAGCGUGAUCCAAAGAUAUCACUGCUGAGGGAAGGUCAAUUCUUGAUGGUUUCACAGUUUAUGAUGGAGUUGCAAGGUCUAAAGACUGUUGAUGGGGAGGACCCACCUAGGAUUCUUCACUUCAACCCACGGUUGAGUGGUGAUUGGAGCGGGAAGCCGAUGAUUGAGCAGAACACUUGUUAUAGGAUGCAGUGGGGAACGGCUCAAAGGUGUGAUGGGUGGAGGUCCAGGGAUGAUGAGGAGACUGUUGAUGGCCAGGUAAAGUGUGAGAAGUGGAUCCGAGAUAAUGACACCAACCAUUCGGAGCAAUCAAAGGCAUCUUGGUGGUUAAACCGGCUUGUAGGGCGAAAAAAGAAGGUCGAUUUUGAUUGGCCAUUCCCAUUUUCAGAGGAUAGGUUAUUUGUUCUAACUCUCAGUGCCGGUUUUGAGGGUUAUCACGUGAACGUUGAUGGGAGGCAUGUGACCUCAUUUCCAUAUCGAAUUGGAUUUGCGCUCGAGGAUGCCACUGGUUUGUCUUUGAAUGGUGAUAUUGAU